This 335-nucleotide unclassified non-coding RNA is filed under the name uncultured bacterium. RNAcentral describes it as "contains 16S-23S intergenic spacer region". The record is from RNAcentral.
GCCCGUCUGGCACGCUCACGCAGACGGCCAGCAGGAUCGCCGCCAGCGUCUUGCCGGUGAACGCCACCAGGCUGCGGCCCCAGCGCCGGCUGCCGGUCGCGCGGAUCAGCCAGUCGUUGAGCACGCCGCCGACCGCCCCGCCGAUCGCCCCGCCCCACAGCGGCAGGCUGGCGUACACCCCCAUCGCCGCCCGGCUCAGGUUUUUCUCGCCUUCCAGGAACAGCGGCACCCAGUAGACGAACAGCUGAUCGACGAAGGUGCUGGCGAAGGCGUAGAUCAGCAUCGCCCCGACCGUCGCCACAUUGGCGGCGCUCCAGUCGAUGCGCGCCUUCUGU